UGGUGGAGUGAUUUGUCUGGUUAAUUCCGAUAACGAGCGAGACCUCAGCCUACUAAUUAGAUAGACAAAUCUUCGGAUUUGCUUUAGCUUCUUAGAGGGACUAUCGGUGUUUAGCCGAUGGAGGUUUGAGGCAAUAACA
RNAcentral lists this ribosomal RNA (139 nucleotides) under uncultured eukaryote. RNAcentral describes it as "partial 18S ribosomal RNA". It matches the Rfam family "Eukaryotic small subunit ribosomal RNA", at positions 1299 to 1458 of the family's 1831-position model. The record is from RNAcentral.